This 460-nucleotide ribosomal RNA is filed under the name uncultured bacterium. RNAcentral describes it as "partial 16S ribosomal RNA". It matches the Rfam family "Bacterial small subunit ribosomal RNA", at positions 338 to 795 of the family's 1533-position model. The record is from RNAcentral.
CCUACGGGUGGCAGCAGUGAGGAAUAUUGGUCAAUGGACGCAAGUCUGAACCAGCCAUGCCGCGUGCAGGAAGACGGCUCUAUGAGUUGUAAACUGCUUUUGUACGAGGGUAAACGCAGAUACGCGUAUCUGUCUGAAAGUAUCGUACGAAUAAGGAUCGGCUAACUCCGUGCCAGCAGCCGCGGUAAUACGGAGGAUUCAAGCGUUAUCCGGAUUUAUUUGGUUUAAAGGGUGCGUAGGCGGUCGGAUAAGGUAGAGGUGAAAGCCCGAGGCCCAACUUCGGAAUUGCCGCUGAUACUGUUCGGCUAGAGAGUAGCUGCGGUAGGCGGAAUGUACGGUGUAGCGGUGAAAUGCUUAGAGAUCGUACAGAACACCGAUUGCGAAGGCAGCUUACCAAGCUACUUCUGACGUUGAGGCACGAAAGCGUGGGGAGCAAACAGGAUUAGAUACCCCUGUAGUC